This 253-nucleotide ribosomal RNA is filed under the name uncultured bacterium. RNAcentral's name for it is "partial 16S ribosomal RNA". It matches the Rfam family "Bacterial small subunit ribosomal RNA", at positions 524 to 776 of the family's 1533-position model. The record is from RNAcentral.
UACGUAGGUGGCAAGCGUUGUCCGGAUUUAUUGGGUUUAAAGGGUGCGUAGGCGGCCCUGUAAGUCAGUGGUGAAAUACGGCAGCUCAACUGUCGAGGUGCCAUUGAUACUGCAGGGCUAGAGUACUGAUGAGGUAGGCGGAAUGGACGGUGUAGCGGUGAAAUGCUUAGAUAUCGUCCAGAACACCGAUAGCGAAGGCAGCUUACUAAAGAGUAACUGACGCUGAGGCACGAAAGUGUGGGGAUCAAACAGG